Molecule: transfer RNA, 77 nt
Filed under: Gemmatimonadota bacterium
Lineage: Bacteria; Pseudomonadati; Gemmatimonadota
Description: Gemmatimonadetes bacterium tRNA-Arg
Rfam family: tRNA
About the family: Transfer RNA (tRNA) molecules are approximately 80 nucleotides in length. Their secondary structure includes four short double-helical elements and three loops (D, anti-codon, and T loops).
Source: RNAcentral
GCCCCUAUAGCUCAGGCGGAUAGAGCAACGGUUUCCUAAACCGUGUGUCGCACGUUCGAGUCGUGCUAGGGGCACCA